GUGGGUAACCUUCCCGAGAGUGGUGGAUAACCUUCCUAAAGGAGGGCUAAUACAGCAUGAGACCACGGGGUCUUCGGACUCUGCGGUCAAAGCAGGCCUCUGUUUACAAGCUUGCGCUCUUGGAUGGGCCCGCGGCCCAUCAGCUAGUUGGCGAGGUAACGGCUCACCAAGGCUACGACGGGUAGCUGGUCUGAGAGGAUGAUCAGCCACAUUGGAACUGAGACACGGUCCAGACUCCUACGGGAGGCAGCAGUGGGGAAUUUUGCGCAAUGGGCGAAAGCCUGACGCAGCGACGCCGCGUGGGUGACGAAGGCCUUCGGGUCGUAAAGCCCUGUGGGGAGGAACGAACCGGCAUCGGGCUAAUAUCCCGGUGUCUUGACGGUACCUCCUUAGCAAGCACCGGCUAACUCUGUGCCAGCAGCCGCGGUAAGACAGAGGGUGCAAACGUUGCUCGGAAUUACUGGGCGUAAAGCGCGUGUAGGUGGUCUGG
Molecule: ribosomal RNA, 490 nt
Filed under: uncultured bacterium
Lineage: Bacteria
Description: bacterial SSU rRNA
Rfam family: Bacterial small subunit ribosomal RNA
Source: RNAcentral